Molecule: ribosomal RNA, 626 nt
Filed under: uncultured bacterium
Lineage: Bacteria
Description: bacterial SSU rRNA
Rfam family: Bacterial small subunit ribosomal RNA
Source: RNAcentral
CAAGUCGAACGGGCCGCAAGGCCAGUGGCGCAAGGGUGAGUAAGGCGAAGGUAACCAACCCCGAGGUUGGGCAUAGCCGAGGGAAACUUCGGGUAAUUCCCAGCGACGCGGCUUCCCGGCAUCGGGAGGCCGCCAAAGAUUCAUCGCCUCGGGACGGGCCUUUGUGGUAUUAGGUUGUUGGCGGGGUGACGGCCCACCAAGCCUGCGAUGCCUACCGGGCGUGCGAGCGUGGCCCGGCACACUGGGACUGAGACACUGCCCAGACUCCUACGGGAGGCUGCAGUCGAGAAUCUUCGGCAAUGGGCGCAAGCCUGACCGAGCGACGCCGCGUGGAGGAUGAAGGCCUUCGGGUUGUAAACUCCUGUCGAGGGGGAGGAAGGCGCAAGCUUGACCGAUCCCUGGAGGAAGCACGGGCUAAGUUCGUGCCAGCAGCCGCGGUAAGACGAACCGUGCGAACGUUAUUCGGAAUCACUGGGCUUAAAGCGCGUGUAGGCGGGCCGCCACGUCGGCUGCUGAAAUCCCCCGGCUCAACCGGGGAACGGGCACCGAUACGAGCGGCCUUGAGGGGGGUAGGGGGGUCUGGAACUUCCGGUGGAGCGGUGAAAUGCGUUGAGAUCGGAAGGAAC